Molecule: ribosomal RNA, 269 nt
Filed under: uncultured Leptolinea sp.
Lineage: Bacteria; Bacillati; Chloroflexota; Anaerolineae; Anaerolineales; Anaerolineaceae
Description: partial 16S ribosomal RNA
Rfam family: Bacterial small subunit ribosomal RNA
Source: RNAcentral
AACCCUCGCUGUGUGUUACAAGUGUCACACGGUACUGCCGGUCUUAAGCCGGAGGAAGGUGGGGAGUGACGUCAAGUCAGCAUGGCCUUUAUGUCCUGGGCUACACACACGCUACAAUGGCCAACACAAUAGGUUGCUAAGCCGCGAGGUGGAGCCAAUCCUCAAAGUUGGUCUCAGUUCAGAUUGCAGGCUGCAACCCGCCUGCAUGAAGAUGGAGUUGCUAGUAACCGCAGGUCAGCUAUACUGCGGUGAAUACGUUCCCGGGGCUU